Molecule: long non-coding RNA, 1637 nt
Organism: Prosopis cineraria
Lineage: Eukaryota; Viridiplantae; Streptophyta; Magnoliopsida; Fabales; Fabaceae
Exons: 3
Source: RefSeq, a predicted model, not a curated record
ACAUUUAUAUUGUUAAUCAUGAAUUUUAUUUUCUAUAAUUAUUUGAUACUCAGAAUUAUCAAAUCAAAAUUGAGUAUUAUUGAAAAUGGUUUGUAAUAUGAUUCUGUUUAUUCACAAUACUAAAAUGUUAGAUUUUAUUUAAAGGAACGAGUCAUUUUUGCUAAAUUCAGCCACUGUUUAUAUAUAUUUAAUUCUAAUUAGACAAAUAGGCCAAAAGUUACGCAAAUAUUAAAAAAAAAAUCACUUGGAAAAAACCAAUAUCUUUAUACAAAUUUCAUCAAGAGUUGCAUGAUCAUGUCUUUAAAAUACUUUUUUCAAAAAAAAAAAAAAGACUUUGCCCAUCAUUUAACUUUCACAGAUCACAAAUUUCACUGAGAGUAAUUCAUCAUACCAGAAGAAAAAACCAUAAAAGUGCAAGGGACAGUCAUAAUACCCACGAAGAUGUAACAGGGGGCACCCAAAUUAAUAUUCCUUAUUCAUCGAUUCGUCGAAACGCCAGACAACCGAGAAAGGAAAUCUCCCAGGAACCCCAAAAAUCUCAGAUUCUUUGCUUGCUUCCUUUUUCAUCCUGCUUCGUUUUCGGGUUGGGAAUGGUGGGAUGGUUUUUUCGUAAGAUGGUCGAGUUCAGAUCUGAGGACGAUCAUUCUUGUUAACGCAACAAUUAUAUAGUUAGUGUUAAGAGAGUAAACACAAGAAUCUUGGUCGAGGACUUUGCUAGAUAUCCUCUGCCCAAAUUUUCCCCUGCUUUUAAUUAAGCCUAUAAUGUUUCAUUUCGUCCUUAUCUAUAAGGAAUGCUUUAAUACACUGUAUCUGGACUCCAAUCAUGUGAAAAUACUUCCUUAUCCACAAAAACAGGUGGAUAAGAUGAUUGAUGAUAUCACAACCUACAGGCUUGCUAUCCUGAGAUUGGCGUGUCUAGUCAUGCGGGAAAGCACAGUGGCUUGUUCCAUAUUAAGCGGGGAACUGAAGUGGUUAGUUUGUUUCUAUAACAAAGUUAUUGAAGGAAAUAUAGCAACACAGUUCAAUGUUUACCUUGAGCAAGUUGUUACUUCUCUCUCCACUUUUCGAGAGCAGACAUUUGAGUGACAUGAUAGUCCGGACCCUGGACUGCCAUGAGCAUAAAAUUCUUGAACGUUGCUGUAAACAUGGCAUGAGUGAGAUCAGAAAUUUCCAAAAGAAAGCAGAGGCAUGGAUGUGUGACGGAGGUAGAGAAGUUUUCCAGGUUAAAUAGUGCAGUUGCCAGUUGGUGCCGAGGAAUGAGAAUGUUAAAAGACAUUAUAAAUUAUUGUGACUGCUACAAUGUCAUCGCAUCUGCUAAAUAUGGCACGUAAUGUCAACUCCUUGGGCUUAUCUCUUUGCCUGCAAGGUUCUUCUGCUCAGUCAAAUUCGUGGGUUCAGGGAAAGCUUGCAAUACUCCUUCCUUUUUUUUAAUUUUACUCGUAGCCUAGGCUUUCCUUACAAAAAAAGAGACAUACACACCCUCGUUGACACACAACUGUAUCGAUAUUGGGUUAGAACUGACAUUAUUACUGGGACAUCUAACUGUUGACAACAACACUCCUUCCUUGUGCCGAGGGGAAUGUGGAAUAAAAUCAGAAAGGCCUUUUUUUCUUGUUUUCUUUCUCAGUAUAAAAUAA